GGGAAAAUUGGGUGGGAAAACAAAAUUGGAAAAAAUUAGGGUUCUCUCCCCCAAAAUCAAAUCACCACCUUCUUGAUUCCUCAAUUGAGAAUCCUACGACUUCUUGUUUCCUCAACUCACCACCUCCAUUUCCCCUUUCUCCUGUAAGCUGCCGCACCACCACCUCCAUUUGCCCUCCCUUUCUUCCUUCGCCGCCACCUCGCUGCCUCUAGCGCCACCAACGAGGUCCUCUUCCAGCGACGAGCAACACGCACGCUUGCAACAGUGCCGCCGCCACACUCCUCGUCAGUUCCAGCGCCGUUGCGAGCCCUUUGUGCAGAGUUCUUAGAUAAUUUGGAGUUAGGAUAAAGGACCAAGCUUUAUUCCCUUCCAACGCCGCCUCAAGUGAGAACUUUGACCUUAGUGUGUUGUUAUCAUGAAGCGUUCCAAUUCACAAGGCGGGCAUAAGGGUAGCUGUUUUGUGGAUAUAUUGUGUUCGAAUGAGAAGCGAGAUAGAGUCCUAGUUGUUGCCAACGUAACUCAACUAUUGUGCUAGGUUGCACCUCACAUCAAAGCAAGGAAAAGUUCUUCAUCAUUGUCUAGGAUCCAUGCACAUCUCAUUGUCUGGCUUGUUGUAGGAUAAUAAGCUCAUGCUUUGUAUAUAGAGAUGAGAAUGUAUUUGAGUCAAUUAAGUUAAUCUGAUUUGACUGUAUAUGGAUGGGUAGUUCAGGUUAAAAACACGGGUAUAUCUAUGAACAAUUGGUCACCAUAUCAGAUAUAAAUCAAUUUGAAAGAUAACGAUGUUUUUAAUUUUGAUGUA
Lotus japonicus is the source of this 799-nucleotide long non-coding RNA. RefSeq lists it as uncharacterized. Lineage: Eukaryota; Viridiplantae; Streptophyta; Magnoliopsida; Fabales; Fabaceae. The transcript has 3 exons. The record is from RefSeq and is a predicted model, not a curated record.